This is an RNA transcript of Syzygium oleosum, 2100 nucleotides long. It is a transcript of the gene named probable aspartyl aminopeptidase, with no coding region annotated. NCBI's taxonomy places the organism in Eukaryota, Viridiplantae, Streptophyta, Magnoliopsida, Myrtales, Myrtaceae. The transcript is spliced from 10 exons. The record is from RefSeq and is a predicted model, not a curated record.
AAGCUUCGACUCAAGUUCAGAUAGGAAGCUGAAGCAACCCCGCAGAACGAAAAUGGCGGCAGCGAUGGCUCGUCUGCAUCUCCUGCAUCCUCCCACCACCAUCACCAGGCCUUCUCUUCUGUUCCUGAAGCCUUCGCCGUCUCCGCGCGGCUCCCGCAUUCGCAAGGUCUCCACUCUCCCUCGCCUCUGCUCCAGCGCUGAUCAAUCGCCUCAGGGCGCUUCUCCGUCGGCCGCGUUGAGCGGUUCGAUCGUCGGGGACCUCUUGGAUUACCUCAAUGAGUCCUGGACUCAGUUUCAUGCUACAGCUGAAGCAAAAAGACAAUUAAUCAAUGCUGGAUUUCAUUUGCUGAAUGAAAAUGAUGAAUGGAACCUAAAGCCUGGAGGACGCUACUUCUUUACGCGGAAUAUGUCUUGUUUAAUUGCUUUUGCUGUAGGAGAAAGAUAUGAUGUUGGCAGUGGUUUUCAUGUUGUUGCUGCUCACACAGACAGCCCAUGCUUAAAACUGAAGCCAAAAUCUGCAUCAACCAAGUCUAAUUAUCUCAUGGUCAAUGUGCAGACUUAUGGUGGUGGUUUAUGGCAUACUUGGUUUGACAGAGAUCUGAGUGUUGCAGGAAGGGUCAUAGUGAGAGAUAGUGAUGGUUCCUUUCUGCACAAGCUUGUCAAAAUUAAAAGACCUCUUUUACGCGUACCCACUUUAGCCAUUCACCUUGACCGCACGGUCAACAAGGAUGGUUUUAAGCCUAACCUGGAAACACACCUCAUUCCACUGCUUUCCACAAAAACGAAUGAAACAUCUGCAGAGUCAAAAGAGAAAGGUGCCACAAUUUCCUCAAAGCCUGUUCAUCAUCCCCUGCUUUUGCAGAUAUUGUCCGAUGAACUUGGAUGCUGUGCAGAUGAUAUCAUGAGUAUCGAGUUGAAUCUUUGUGAUACCCAACCUAGCUGCCUUGGGGGUGGCAACAAUGAGUUCAUCUUUUCAGGAAGAUUGGAUAAUCUUGCUUCAAGCUAUUGUGCAUUGAGAGCUCUAAUUGACUCUUGUAGAUUAACUGCAGAUUUAUCAACUGAGCAUGCUGUUCGGAUGGUUGCUUUAUUUGACAAUGAAGAGGUGGGUUCAGAUUCCUUUCAAGGUGCUGGUGCACCGACCAUGUUUCAGGCCAUGAGACGCAUCAUUGAUUCCUUAGCUGAUAAGUAUGUUGGGGAGAAUGCUUUUGAGCGUGCGAUACGGAAAUCAUUUCUUGUUUCCGCAGACAUGGCUCAUGGAGUUCACCCAAAUUUUAUGGACAAGCAUGAGGAACACCAUCGACCUGAAAUGCAGAAGGGGCUAGUAAUUAAGCACAAUGCCAAUCAGCAUUAUGCCACCAGCGGCAUUACCGCUUUUCUUUUCAAAGAAGUGGGCAAAAUCCAUAACUUGCCAACACAGGAAUUUGCAGUUAGAAAUGACAUGGGAUGUGGAUCCACCAUAGGUCCGAUACUGGCAUCAGGAGUUGGUAUCCGCACUGUUGAUUGUGGCAUUGCUCAACUUUCCAUGCACAGGUAUUGAAUUGACCUUGUGUGAUUAAUUAUGAUGGUCCCCUGGUCUGUACUCAUCACAUCUGCUGAAGCUUGUUGCUCAAUAGGCAACGUGAGAGAAGUGUGUGGGAAGGAAGAUAUUGACAUCGCAUACCAGCAUUUCAAGGCAUUUUAUCAAAGCUUUUCGCAUGUAGACAGUAAGCUGACUAUUGACUAUUAGUAAGUCUACAAGUAUGCGUCUGAAUUAUUUCUUUAAUCCCUUGGGGCCUUCUGUGUGCCUAAAUUGCAACUGAGAGAGAGAGAGAGAGAGAGAGAGAGAGAGGAGGGGGUGUUCAGGUAUCUGUAUACAUUUCCGGAAAAGUGGAAAUUUCUUUCUCAGAGAAUUUUGAAUGUGUGGAUUGGAAUUUCGAAGUAGGAACUUUGUUAUUCUUUGAAAUAUCUGCUCCGGUCUGAGCAGGGAGGACAUUCCUUGUCUGAGUCAAUUCAUGUUUUCUAAGUUCACUGCAACGGAAUAGGUCAGAGUUUAGUGUUUGCAUUUAGAGUACUUUCCAGAACUUCUACUUCUGCAACUACUUACAUACUCGGAUUCUUUUU